This 404-nucleotide ribosomal RNA is filed under the name Actinomycetes bacterium. RNAcentral describes it as "Actinobacteria bacterium partial 16S ribosomal RNA". It matches the Rfam family "Bacterial small subunit ribosomal RNA", at positions 355 to 776 of the family's 1533-position model. The record is from RNAcentral. Lineage: Bacteria; Bacillati; Actinomycetota; Actinomycetes.
UGGGGAAUAUUGGACAAUGGGCGCAAGCCUGAUCCAGCCAUGCCGCGUGAGUGAUGAAGGCCCUAGGGUUGUAAAGCUCUUUCACCGGUGAAGAUAAUGACGGUAACCGGAGAAGAAGCCCCGGCUAACUUCGUGCCAGCAGCCGCGGUAAUACGAAGGGGGCUAGCGUUGUUCGGAUUUACUGGGCGUAAAGCGCACGUAGGCGGACUAUUAAGUCAGGGGUGAAAUCCCGGGGCUCAACCCCGGAACUGCCUUUGAUACUGGUAGUCUUGAGUUCGAGAGAGGUGAGUGGAAUUCCGAGUGUAGAGGUGAAAUUCGUAGAUAUUCGGAGGAACACCAGUGGCGAAGGCGGCUCACUGGCUAGAUACUGACGCUGAGGUGCGAAAGCGGGGGGAGCAAACAGG